CCUACGGGGGGCUGCAGUGGGGGAUAUUGCACAAUGGAGGAAACUCUGAUGCAGCAACGCCGCGUGAGGGAAGAAGGUCUUCGGAUUGUAAACCUCUGUCGGAAGGGAAGAACGGUUCAGGUGUUAAUACCAUCUGGAUUUGACGGUACCUUCAAAGGAAGCACCGGCUAACUCCGUGCCAGCAGCCGCGGUAAUACGGAGGGUGCGAGCGUUAAUCGGAAUUACUGGGCGUAAAGGGCACGUAGGCGGCCCUGCAAGUCAGUUGUGAAAGCCCACGGCUCAACCGUGGAUGUGCAAUUGAAACUGCAGGGCUUGAGUACCGGCGGGGAAGAUGGAAUUCCCGGUGUAGAGGUGAAAUUCGUAGAUAUCGGGAGGAAUACCGGUGGCGAAGGCGAUCUUCUGGACGGAUACUGACGCUGAGGCGCGAAAGCGUGGGGAGCAAGCAGGAUUAGAUACCCCUGUAGUC
RNAcentral lists this ribosomal RNA (466 nucleotides) under uncultured bacterium. Its description in RNAcentral is "bacterial SSU rRNA". It matches the Rfam family "Bacterial small subunit ribosomal RNA", at positions 338 to 795 of the family's 1533-position model. The record is from RNAcentral.